RNAcentral lists this ribosomal RNA (371 nucleotides) under uncultured bacterium. RNAcentral's name for it is "bacterial SSU rRNA". It matches the Rfam family "Bacterial small subunit ribosomal RNA", at positions 527 to 896 of the family's 1533-position model. The record is from RNAcentral.
AGAGGUGGCAAGCGUUGUUCGGAUUCAUUGGGUGUAAAGGGCAGGUAGGUGGCUAUGUAAGUCCGGUGUGAAAUCCCAGAGCUCAACUCUGGAACUGCAUUGGAAACUACAUGGCUUGAGUACCGGAGAGGUGAGGGGAAUUCUCGGUGUAAGGGUGAAAUCUGUAGAUAUCGAGAGGAACACCAGUGGCGAAGGCGCCUCACUGGCCGGUAACUGACACUGAGCUGCGAAAGCAAGGGGAGCAAACAGGAUUAGAUACCCUGGUAGUCCUUGCCGUAAACGAUGUGGAUUAGGUGUCGGGGGUGUCGAUCCCUCCGGCGCCGACGCUAACGCAUUAAAUCCACCACCUGGGGAGUACGGUCGCAAGACUG